This 1352-nucleotide long non-coding RNA is filed under the name Marmota monax (woodchuck). The record is from RNAcentral. Lineage: Eukaryota; Metazoa; Chordata; Mammalia; Rodentia; Sciuridae.
CUCUGGGCAGGAUCUCACCAUUGGAAGUGCUAACUCAGAGGAGCCUUGGACACAGAUGGGAACUCCGGGGCAAGAGAGGGUGAAGAAGAGUGAGGCCAGAUGCUCUGCCCACCUCAGUGCCAUCACACCAGUUAGCAGGACUCUUCCAAAGGUAUGAGUACGAGGCAUAAGAAUGUCAAGCAACCCUCCCACUUGGUCUUCGAGGCCCAGUGAACUGACUCCAGUGGUGGAAUAUUAGGCACCAUGAAAAAAGAAGGGAGGGUACUUAUUGGUAAGACUUGGUUGUAAAAAUCCCAUUCUACACUUACCAUAAAGCCAAGUCCUACCUAAAAGGGAGCCUUCAAAGCUCUUCCCCGAGCCCUGGGUGAGGGCCACCACAGCCUCAGUGCUUGGCAACAGAAGCAGCACCCCUGGAGGCUGAGCUUAUAGCCCUAGGAACAGCUCCUGUGGGUUUCAGAUCUGCCACUGACUACACACAAGGCCUCACAAAAGCUCUUCGGCCUCCCUGUGCCUCAGGGUCCUCAUGUGUACAUGGAGGUAACAGAACAGUCCAUGUCUCAGAGGCUCUUGUGAGAAUUAAGGGACUUGGUAUUGGCAAGGUACCCAGAGCCUGGCGCAUGGUGAGCAACCGGUGUCAGGUGUGGUCAUUAUCUUGCUGGUUUUCAGGCAGUGCCAGAGGCAGUGUGGUUACUCUAGUUUGGAAGGCUUUGUGGUAGGGACUACAGUAUUGAUAUGAGAAUGAGCUUAUGGAAUGGAUCUGACUUCGAGACCUCGCUCUGCCACUAGCAGCUGAGCAACCUCUCGACCACAGGCUCUUCAUCUGAAAACCGUGAAUAUCAAUACGUUGCCAUAGGUCUUAAGAACCAAAAUAAAAUGUACUGAAGUGCUUUUCAAAAUACUUAUGUUUUAAGCUAACAUGGAAUAAAAUAGACCUCGGGGGUCCAUAUAGUUUUAUGAAUUGUCAUACAUUCAUGUACCCACCACCAAGAUAAGGACCGUCUCCCCACUCCCCAUGAAAUUGUGUUGUUUUUAUUUUUUUUUAUUUUUAAAAUGCUCUGCAAAGGUCAAAGUCCUAGUGUUCUGCAGGCGGACACCUGGAGGGCCUACCAUGGCGCACUAGAUAGGGAAGAUUCAAAGCCUGGCACAUUUCUCACAAAACAAGCAGAGAAGGUGAAUGCUAGCGUGGAGCUUCCUGUCAUAGGCUGCCUGCACACUGGCUGUUCCUCAGCAGGAACUCGGCCUCUCCAGACACUUGCCUGCUCACACUUCACCUCCUUCAGGUCUUUGCCUGAAUGCUACCCUCUCCCGAGGCCUCCCCUCUGGGAGCCACCAUCUGGUACUUUGGAUCCCCA